AGCCAGCUGCGAUAAGUAGUGUGAAUUGCAGAACUCAGCGAAUCAUCGAAUCUUUGAACGCAAAUGGCGCUCCCCGGUUCUCCGGGGAGCAUGUCUGUCUGAGCGUCAUGCCAAUGACCUACGCACCAAUCGUCCUUGCGAUUGAUUAGUGCGGCGUUGAGACUUCGUGGCCGCCGUCAGGUGCUGCGUGUCUUGAAAUCGAGCAGUUUGUAGCGUGACACAACCACAGUCCGGCUAGCCUCGCACAUCAAAGGGCAGCAAAACGUCUCUAUGCCUACCUUUCGACUGUGCACACAUGGGUGAUGUCGGCUGUGCGUUACUUUUGAAUUUUGACCUCAGAUCAGGCAAGACUACCCGCUGAAUUUAAGCAUAUCA
RNAcentral lists this ribosomal RNA (375 nucleotides) under Chrysaora hysoscella. RNAcentral's name for it is "eukaryotic LSU rRNA". The stretch from base 1 to 108 matches the Rfam family "5.8S ribosomal RNA", at positions 47 to 154 of the family's 154-position model. The record is from RNAcentral. Lineage: Eukaryota; Metazoa; Cnidaria; Scyphozoa; Semaeostomeae; Pelagiidae.